CAGGGUGGCAGUUCACAUCAACUGUACAAGUCAGUUCAUUCAUAGAUUUUCACAUUGCCAAAGAAUACGUUGAUCUAUCCUGCUCAUGAUUACAAGGGAUUCACUGUAUGGGACUCUCUAUUGUCUAUUUCUUCUGUACCCUGUAUACCGAGGCAGCUUCUUUUGCCACACAUUUGCUUGAGAUGCAGCUUAGCACCGUUGGGGAGGAGAUGCUUUAUAAUCCUCGACUCACAAAAGAUGAGGUAUAUAUUUCGUGGUUCCAAAAGUGUUAACCCUUGUAGUUGCUAAAUUUAAUGUUCUUCAGGAAGAUGAUACUGAUACUAUCUGGUUGACAAGUGGAUGUCAAGAUUUUGUAUAUCUACAUAUAUCUUGGGUCAACAAAUGUUUGACUAAGAUGUCUUAGCAUGAUUUUGACCUGGGCAAUAUUAGUGUGAAGGAGCCUCUGCCUAAAAGCAACCACCUAAUUUACCAAGAAUAGUUAGUACCGGUGUUACACAGAUGUAAAAGAAUGCAGAAUUUUAAGGGAAAGUAGUGAGAAAUAGAUUUUUCUUUUAUGUGAGAUACUAGCUGAAUAAAUUAGUAGUCACUGUAAAGAGUCUUGACCAUAUGCGCUGCAUAGAUGCACUUUUAUUUUUCAUUUAUCAUGUGAGUAUUUUAACACUUCUUCCCUAUAUGUAUCAAACUAGUUUAAUUUUGAACUCUUUUUUACAGGAAGCAUUUCAAAAUAUCAUGGAAAGUAAGUAAAACUAUCUAGCAUCCAAUUUUUUUUAGAAGUAACCAAGUCUAGUUUGAUCUUUCAUUUCAUUGAGUAUAUGAUAAUUCCAACCAUUUCAGGUUUGAGUUAAGAAAAAUGAUGUUUCUUAGA
This is a long non-coding RNA of Prunus dulcis (almond), 865 nucleotides long. RefSeq lists it as uncharacterized. Lineage: Eukaryota; Viridiplantae; Streptophyta; Magnoliopsida; Rosales; Rosaceae. The transcript is spliced from 2 exons. The record is from RefSeq and is a predicted model, not a curated record.